This is a non-coding RNA of Paramuricea clavata, 259 nucleotides long. NCBI's taxonomy places the organism in Eukaryota, Metazoa, Cnidaria, Anthozoa, Malacalcyonacea, Plexauridae. The record is from the annotation of a GenBank genome assembly.
CCAGUGUUUCUUGAAUAUUUUCCUUGUUUAACUAGUAGAACCGAACGUACAAGUGCAUCAGAAGACUAAGCGAGAGUUUUGUGUAGAAAUGCUCUGUUUACGGGAAGUUAUUUUGCAUUCGCAAGCGUCAACAAAACUGCCGCAUCAAGUUCACAGAUUUUAAACUACCCGUAUUUGUAUAGAAUAUAUGUUAGUUGUAUUAACAUUGAACUUCUUUCUGUUUGAACCCAAAUUUGUACUUGUUUUGCGUUUGACAAGG